Suricata suricatta (meerkat) is the source of this 665-nucleotide long non-coding RNA. RefSeq lists it as uncharacterized. The transcript has 2 exons. The record is from RefSeq and is a predicted model, not a curated record. Lineage: Eukaryota; Metazoa; Chordata; Mammalia; Carnivora; Herpestidae.
GAGCUAAUGAAUUGAAACAGCUGUGGUGAGCUCACCGCCGUGGCUUUGACUCCUGGUCAUAGAGAGCAAACCCUGCUCAUCUUCUCUCUCUUUCUGACCUCAAACUCUCCUCUUCCAGGGGAGGGUCAAAACUCUCACGUAACUUCACCCUUACACGGAUUUUCACCACGGCCCUGUCAGGGCUGCCCAAAGACAUGGGAUCAUACUGGGGCUCCUGGGGGGCUGCCAGGACUUUUUGUAGCACUUUGGCCUUGAAUGUAGCGAAGAUCCUCCCUCUCUGUGGGCACGACCCCUGCGGCAUUUCCCAGACUACGCACAGAGUGGCAGCAGAGGCACAUUCACCUUGAAGAUAAUGUCAUCUGUUCUCUCUCUUUGCCAAACCUGCAGAAGGAGCCUCCCAAUUUGGUAUUUGUAAUUCCAUCUUCUCCAUUGAGGACACCCAGUACAAUAUAGGAACCUACAAAACCCGGAUCAGCCCGUGUGGUUCACUCAACGACCAUUCUAACCCCUUUCUCUACCAUGUAAGCUGGGAGGUAGGGUGUUCUAUUUCAUAGACUCCUUCGCAGCUAACGAUGGCCUUGGGACGCAGUGCUGGGCAGUGAGAUACGGGUGAAGUCGCUGCGAAGGGCCUCCCCCUCUAAAUAAACAGAAAAGCCUCACGAUGA